GAACGCAGAGGCGAACGAGCUCAGAAAGUCAGUUAGAGAAGAGUUUUUAACCGCGCUGCCCAGUCACUCCGUACGGAGAGGCCAAGAGGCACCUACCUGCCUAGCUAGCCAACUACCUAGCAAGCUAUCAACCUACCUACCAACCAACCAACCAACCUACCUGUCGUGUUGGCCACGUUUGUGGCGAUCCGAUCAGUGCACCGUCAGCCAGCGACGCGCACACACCGAACAACUGAACACCGCACACCUGGAAAGCAGCUGGAAACCCUAUCAGCAGAAGUGUUAGAUAAACUGAUAAUGCUACGGAGCCAACAAAACCACUAACGUGGCGUUAAAUCUACUAACUAAAAACACACUCACACACACACCCAUAAAACGGCAAAAACAGGCGAACGAACGAACGAAAAAAAACAGUAAAGACAAUAACCCAAGUAAAACAAAAAACGAGUCAGCGGCAAAGUGUCAAUAAAACUCUCGAAUUCAUUAACACAACUCAAAACGUUCUAUUAGUAAGCACUUGCAAAUUUCAACCAAACCAACGAAAAAAAAACCGAAAAAAAGCGGAGGAAAAGCUAAAAAACGGAUCGAGAGAUGAAAGAGGAGAGGGGAGCUGGCACAAAUUAGCGUGGCCAACAGUCAAAAGGUCUAAUAGAAGCGCGUGUAUGCGAGUAGAUAGGCCCGCAUGUACCUCGCCUUCACCCGAAAGCCAAGAUCGUAAAAACUACAUCAACUUCAACUACAACAAAUGCUCGGGGUAAAAAAAAAAAAACGCCACAAAAAACGAGACGAGGCUGCUGCCAUGUCCUUGGCCUGUAAAAGGGCAGUGAAAUUCCUGGCACUCCAUAACAACAUCAUCAAAGGCAGCAGAGCGACUGCGACUCCAACUUCGAUACCGAGUCCGAUUCCAAGUUCGAUUCCGAUUCCGAUUCCCAGGAGUCCUUUCAGCGGAACCGCGAUGCCGGAGUGCACAGAAUUACAGAAAUUCAGAGCUCCCCGCCGACUGGAAGACAAAUGCCAUGGACUCGGUUACAAUUUGGACUCGUCUUGUCAAUCAGUUGGGAGGCGAGCGGCUGGCUAGAACUGGAAAUGGCCAAGGAUGACCGGUGAGCGCUUCCUGUUCGGGUAAGUUGAUACUUGGACUAAACUGGGGCUUAAUUAGCCACACGACACAAGACCGAAAGCCCUCAAAAAAGACCCCGACCUGUGAUGACCUUUAGACUCGACGACGACGGCGACUAAUUUAUCAAAGUGUAGAGAAAAACUGAAAUAACUCCGCGCAUAAUUAAAGCAAGCCAAAAAAUCGAAAAAAAAAACAGCAAGCCAAAACCGAAAGAUAGCCACAAAUGCGUUUUUAAACCGUUGCGCAACGCCUCUUUCUAACAGUUUAAAUUUUUUUUAAGGGGUUUUCGAGACCGCUCUUUUGUUGUUUUGCUUGGAUUUUUCCUUUGGUUAAUUGCCGCUUAUUAAUCUCGGCUCAGUUAAUGGUCCAACAAACGAAAUUCUAAUUAAUGAAAUAUUUUUUCGGCCUCUUGCUUGCAUUGUCUAGGCAUUCCGACUUCCUGGAACUGUAAUCAAUCAUAAGCCAAGAUUCCGAGGGUCGAGAUCCCACCAACUGGUGGCUGGUGUUUCUAGCCAAGUAAGCCAACUUGAGUGUGUUGACAAAUUUGUGAGUUGCCGGGCAGAUUGACAGGAAAAUUGAGUAAUCAAUCAUGGGCUAUCAAACGAAUCCGCCGCCAAAAAAGCCUUCAAAAGGUCUGUUGAGUUCAGUUAGUUAGUUAGAGCCUCAAAAAUCAGGUCUUAUCAACCGAUGAUGCACGUCUGGGCCAUUAGUUAAAUGCUAAUGCCAGUUCACAAAAUCACGUUGGUCGAGAAUGUUGACAAAAUCUGGCAAGGGGCGAGUUGAAUCAGGUUGAAUCAGGUUUGCCUUUAUUUUUAGUCGCCGUAUCUCGCAUGCGAUUGAAAUGAAAUAUAAAAUUACAUUAAAUUACCGGAUGUAAUUGCGGUGGUCGUGCCAGUCGACUCUCUCAGCCUGGUCAAUGAAUCACGGCCCGGCGCACACGAAAUACGAAAUACGAAAUACGAAAAACGAAAUGCGUCGAAACAAAAGACUCAGGCAACGAACUCGACGAACCUCAAGUCGAGUAAGCCAGAUUCGAGCACCCAGCAACGAGCACUUAUGUCCAAAUCAGGGAGAGCAGCGCAACCCACACAGAAAGGUAACCAACUAAAAUAAAAAAAAAAAAAAACAAGAAAGGAAAAAAGCGUAGAAAGACCCACACAAAAAGCCGAGUUGAGUGGUAUCUUAUCAGGGCUAACGAUUUUGUCAAAUGACAAUUUUCUCGUCCUCAUUGAAUGCCUCUUUUUCACGCCAUCCGCUGACUUUUCUAUGGGCCAUUUAGUUGUCAAUUAUUUUUGAUAGGCCAGGCUCAGUCGGCUGAUAAGAACCUGCACACGAGACUUGUUUAACCAACGAAGUGGGGGAAAAUCGAAAGGGGGUAACAGAGGAUCCCAAUCGGAUGCAGCCACUGCCGCUCUCCGUUUUGGCCACAUUUGCAUAUUGAACGGCAGUUUGUCUUGAGCCUGAGCUUUUAGUUAUGGCCGAGCAUUAAAUUUAACUAUUAAGCCAUUUUCGGAGGCCAGUUUUGUGGAGCUCGACUUUCCAAACAUUGUCCCCUGACAGUUGCUCCCUAUGGGAGUUUUUUCUUUUUGCAGCAUCAGCAGCAGCGGAAUUUAUGAGGCAAACAGACACAGAAAGAUAGACAGAAUGAUUAACAAGAAAUGGAGAGGCAUGGGAACCUUGGAUUUGGCAAACAGAAAAGGCCAAAAGCCCAGUCGAUGGCGAAGUGAAAUGUUCAGUGUUUUAUUGGCUUAUGGUCGAGUAAAAGGAGAAGAAAUGCCAAUGCAAAUGUAGGAUUUAUUUCGCAAAUCAAAUGGAAAAGUUGCCACAUCGAAUGGCAGAUUUAGUGCGGCAGUUGCAACUUGCGGCCCAGCAAUUGCAAGAGCCGACUUAAUUUUAUCAUAAAAAUGCGAAUUACCCGCCAGAUGAAAUUCACAUCUUGCAACUCAAUCAAGGGGCAUGCAACGGAGGCUGCUGCUGACCUAUAUAUGGCUAAUAAGAACCGACAUGUACAUACCUUCGUACAUUCAAAGGAAUGCUUGUGGCAAGAGCAUACAGAUAUCCUCGUUACAUAUUCCCCAUAUUGAUAUCUCCGCCUCCUGCGUUUCGGGUUCGUGCAACAAUUUCGUUGUUCGUCGAAAACAAUUUUACGGAGCACGAAACUCCGAGAGGGGAAAGAUCAGCAGCAAAUGAGAAACGAAAUUUUUGCAGUGCAUAAAAGUGUAUGCCACGCACGUAGAAGCCAAAACCAAAGCAAACGAAACGGCAACAAUCAGACAAUCAUGCCAUCAAUAUAUGGCAAUUAUCAAUGAAAUUUAUAACAAUCCACGAAAUGUAACGAAAACUUAACCGACCAAUAAAAAUUUCAUAUUUCUUUUUUUUUUUUUGAAAAAGGAGCGCUGCAGCUCGUCUUCCUCGUAACGUAAGGAAAAAAGCUUAAGGAAAAAAAGAAAAAUAAAUAAAAGCCAGAAACAUGAUCAUGAUGUGGCCAAUGUUGCUGUUUUAGCCCCGUUCGCUUCGCCUUGUGAUCUGCAUCAUAAAAACGUGCCAGAUUGAUGCGUGAUUGAAAUGCCAAUUGGUUUCCAGUUGGACUCGGUUCGGACUGUCUCGUUCUGGUUGGAUUGGAGCGAGCAUCCAGUGUGCGUGCCGUUACCGUUACCCUUCCCAAUCUGCAUUGUCAUCUUGGACAAUUAGAACAACCGGAGAUCCCAAAGAUACAUUUAUUUUCUGUCUAUCUGUCUGUUUUUUUUUUUUGUUUGGAGUAACGUAAGAAAAGAAAAGUGGGAGGAAAGAGUUUGACUGGCAGUAUUUCCCAAAGAUCUGCGCGUGGAGAGUAAAAUCAAUCCGCUAGAUAAACAGUUAGAGCCACGGCCAAAAGGGGCGGCUGGCGAAAGGGGGAAAGGGGGCGGGGAAGGGGUUUCCGUUGACCGCUUACCGUUGGGAGAGGUUUUGUCGCCAUGACCAUGACUUGUGGUCUCCGCAAGUGGGUCACAAGCUCUGUCGAGGGUUACCUCCGUUUGCCGACGGGAUUCGUAACGUGGCUUUAACGGAAGCGGGAGUCGCAUUACCCAUUUCAGUUCGAUUGUAUCUGCUGCCCCAGUGAUUUGGCCAUUGUGCUUGCCUUUGGUUUUGACCAAAAUUAAUUGCUCUUGAAACUGUUUUGACAGCCUCAACUUGAUCUAAACUUCGAAAUACUGGUUCAGCAGGAGGUUUAAAGACGAUAACAAAUUGGUAAGCUUAUGACACUAUAUCGUAAAUUGUUGUCAUAUUUCAAUCCGUAAUUGAUACUAAAAUAAAGCUGUAAAAAUAAAUAGCUUCCAGUUUGAUUACCAAAUUGUUUUCGGAAUUUCAAUAAGAAUAAACGUAUAAUGUUCUUACUGAUAUACAUAAAUAAUGAUUGCUGAUUAUAUACAUACUAUAUAACAUAAAUAUGUUCAUAUGGAGUGGUAUUUUAUAAGCUGUUUCUUAACUACAGAUCAUAAAAUAUUUUUAUUGGACCUAUGAAUAUUCGCAUGAUGCAGAUUAUUUUACAACCGUUAUUAUUGAAAUAUGGAAAUAUUGCACUUAAUAUUUAUUGUGAGUUAUGAGUUUUAUUAGCAAGUAGAGUGGCACCUAUUCGUCUUGCUGGCACUCCAUAAAUAUGCAUGUGGCAAAGUCUCGCGAUGGCCUGCUGUCGCAGCUGGCUGAUGAAUGGAGUCUGGUGGCGCCACCGGGAACAGCAGAACUAUCAAACUCCUCCGGAUGGCUGGCCAUCUAGGGCAACUUGAUCCCCCAGUCGAUCAGAGCUCAGAGCACAGAACUCGAAAUCGUUGUGGCAAUAUCAAUGCAAUAAAAUCUGCGACUGCAGCCAACAGUAUCGCAAUCUGCGAUGAACAGCUUCUUUUUCCUUUUAUUUCUCUGCAACUUCCUCUCUUAUCGCUGGCAACAAAUUGACCAUUUCAAUUAAUGGAACGCACUUAAAGCACUAAAGACUCUUGCUGGCCGUCGUUGCCACUCAAGUGUUGGCGCUAAUGAACACGGCGAGUCGUAAAGGCCAACACCAAGUUCGUCCUCUGGUUUUUUUUUUUAUUAUCAAGCCGCUCCUUUUGGCCGCGUCCCGCUCACAUUUGCAUAUUUUGUUGUCGAGAUUAAGCGCGUAAAUUUGUCGUUAAAAAUCAUGUUUGAGAUCGGCCACAAAGACACACGCGAUUGCCCACAAAACAAACACAAAAAAAAAGACAAAUAAAUAAAUAAAAAAAAUAAGAGGCAUGAGGAAAAUUGGAAACACAGGCAGCUGCUGUUGAUUUUUAACUGUUUCGCUUCGAGUUUGUUUCUCGUAUUUUGAUUGCGGGCCACUCGAUUUGAUUGAUGGCUGUCGCCUCACGGCGCAUGCGCGGCAUGUCUAUGCCACUGACGUACUGAUUUACCGUUGCCUGAUAAGCGGCCGACCAAAAACAAAAAAGUCGAGAGCCGAAAAAACGAGUGGCAAUUACCUCAAGUGGAGCAGCAUUUGGCAUUUGCAUAAAUUGGCCUAAAACAAAAAGAAAAAAACCCCGUAAAAACGUUGGAAAAAAGCUAAGCCAAAUGAAACGAAACGAGACGGGCAAUGAAAUCGGAGCUUUCUUCGUGACUGGCGACGUUUUCCCAGCGAUCCGAGCGGAGUCCCAGUCCCAGUCGAGAGUGCCCCCAUAAUGAGGGUCCCAGGGGUCACAGAUGUCCAGAGCAAUUGGACGUUACAAUUUGUUUGGCCAACGACAAGUCAAUUUGGGGUUACUCGCCCUCAGGGGUUAUUAUCUAAAUCUGCUUCCUUUUCAACUUGGUUUCUCGAUUACCAAAUAUAAAUUAAUAUAUGAAGGGAAAUCUUACAUGAAAAUGCAUAUAAAUUCAGUAUAAAUCUCUCACUUACCUGAAGGUUCAUAUCUUUCUCAGCAUAUUAAUAUUAUAAUAUAUACCUCCUCUUA
Molecule: long non-coding RNA, 6057 nt
Organism: Drosophila ficusphila
Lineage: Eukaryota; Metazoa; Arthropoda; Insecta; Diptera; Drosophilidae
Exons: 3
Source: RefSeq, a predicted model, not a curated record